RNAcentral lists this ribosomal RNA (253 nucleotides) under uncultured bacterium. RNAcentral's name for it is "partial 16S ribosomal RNA". It matches the Rfam family "Bacterial small subunit ribosomal RNA", at positions 524 to 776 of the family's 1533-position model. The record is from RNAcentral.
UACGUAGGGCGCAAGCGUUGUCCGGAAUUAUUGGGCGUAAAGAGCUCGUAGGCGGCUUGUCACGUCGGGUGUGAAAGCCCGGGGCUUAACCUUCAGAGGUCGACCGAAACCAUCUGGCUAGAGUCCGGGAGAGGAGAGUGGAAUUCCUGGUGUAGCGGUGAAAUGCGCAGAUAUCAGGAAGAACACCCGUGGCGAAAGCGGCUCUCUGGACCGACAUUGACGCUGAGGCGCGAAAGCGUGGGGAGCAAACAGG